Molecule: ribosomal RNA, 338 nt
Filed under: uncultured bacterium
Lineage: Bacteria
Description: bacterial SSU rRNA
Rfam family: Bacterial small subunit ribosomal RNA
Source: RNAcentral
AUUGAACGCUGGCGGCGUGCCUAACACAUGCAAGUCGAGCGGCAGCGCGGGAGCAAUCCUGGCGGCGAGCGGCGGACGGGUGAGUAAUGCUUGGGAAUCUGCCUGUUAGUGGGGGACAACCCGGGGAAACUCGGGCUAAUACCGCAUACGCACUACGGUGGAAAGCCGGGGACCGCAAGGCCUGGCGCUAACAGAUGAGCCCAAGUCGGAUUAGCUAGUUGGUAGGGUAACGGCCACCAAGGCGACGAUCCGUAACUGGUCUGAGAGGACGACCAGUCACACCGGAACUGAGACACGGUCCGGACUCCUACGGGAGGCAGCAGUGGGGAAUAUUGGAC